Drosophila montana is the source of this 222-nucleotide long non-coding RNA. RefSeq lists it as uncharacterized. The record is from RefSeq and is a predicted model, not a curated record. Lineage: Eukaryota; Metazoa; Arthropoda; Insecta; Diptera; Drosophilidae. The transcript has 3 exons.
GUUAUUUGUUGGUUCUUCAUACAGGACGAUAAACCAUCAUAGACGUUAUCAAAAAGGCAAACCAUUAAUUAUAUAAACUUCUCGAAACAAUUUAAUGGAAAUCGACAAAAAACACAACAGAAAUGCCUACAGGCUCAAAUGGUUGCAGCAACAGAGCCCUAUACAUAACACUAUUCGCUGAUCUUAACUAACUAAACAGCAUAUCCUAGAGUGGAAUUCAGG